AUUGAACGCUGGCGGCAGGCCUAACACAUGCAAGUCGAGCGGUAGCACAGAGAGCUUGCUCUCGGGUGACGAGCGGCGGACGGGUGAGUAAUGUCCGGGAAACUGCCUGAUGGAGGGGGAUAACUACUGGAAACGGUAGCUAAUACCGCAUAAUGUCGCAAGACCAAAGUGGGGGACCUUCGGGCCUCAUGCCAUCAGAUGUGCCCAGAUGGGAUUAGCUAGUAGGUGGGGUAAUGGCUCACCUAGGCGACGAUCCCUAGCUGGGCUGAGAGGAUGACCAGCCACACUGGAACUGCGACACGGUCCCGACUCCUACGGGAGGCAGCAGUGGGGAAUAUUGCACAAUGGGCGCAAGCCUGGUGCAGCCAUGCCGCGUGUGUGAAGAAGGCCUUCGGGUUGUAAAGCACUUUCAGCGGGGAGGAAGGCGGUGAGGUUAAUAACCUCAUCGAUUGACGUUACCCGCAGAAGAAGCACCGGCUAACUCCGUGCCAGCCGCCGCCGUAA
This 504-nucleotide ribosomal RNA is filed under the name uncultured bacterium. RNAcentral's name for it is "partial 16S ribosomal RNA". It matches the Rfam family "Bacterial small subunit ribosomal RNA", at positions 29 to 523 of the family's 1533-position model. The record is from RNAcentral.